Molecule: ribosomal RNA, 733 nt
Filed under: Pseudomonas tremae
Lineage: Bacteria; Pseudomonadati; Pseudomonadota; Gammaproteobacteria; Pseudomonadales; Pseudomonadaceae
Description: bacterial SSU rRNA
Rfam family: Bacterial small subunit ribosomal RNA
Source: RNAcentral
CUGGCUCAGAUUGAACGCUGGCGGCAGGCCUAACACAUGCAAGUCGAGCGGCAGCACGGGUACUUGUACCUGGUGGCGAGCGGCGGACGGGUGAGUAAUGCCUAGGAAUCUGCCUGGUAGUGGGGGAUAACGCUCGGAAACGGACGCUAAUACCGCAUACGUCCUACGGGAGAAAGCAGGGGACCUUCGGGCCUUGCGCUAUCAGAUGAGCCUAGGUCGGAUUAGCUAGUUGGUGAGGUAAUGGCUCACCAAGGCGACGAUCCGUAACUGGUCUGAGAGGAUGAUCAGUCACACUGGAACUGAGACACGGUCCAGACUCCUACGGGAGGCAGCAGUGGGGAAUAUUGGACAAUGGGCGAAAGCCUGAUCCAGCCAUGCCGCGUGUGUGAAGAAGGUCUUCGGAUUGUAAAGCACUUUAAGUUGGGAGGAAGGGCAGUUACCUAAUACGUGAUUGUUUUGACGUUACCGACAGAAUAAGCACCGGCUAACUCUGUGCCAGCAGCCGCGGUAAUACAGAGGGUGCAAGCGUUAAUCGGAAUUACUGGGCGUAAAGCGCGCGUAGGUGGUUUGUUAAGUUGGAUGUGAAAUCCCCGGGCUCAACCUGGGAACUGCAUCCAAAACUGGCAAGCUAGAGUAUGGUAGAGGGUGGUGGAAUUUCCUGUGUAGCGGUGAAAUGCGUAGAUAUAGGAAGGAACACCAGUGGCGAAGGCGACCACCUGGACUGAUACUGACC